This 836-nucleotide ribosomal RNA is filed under the name Vibrio owensii. Its description in RNAcentral is "bacterial SSU rRNA". It matches the Rfam family "Bacterial small subunit ribosomal RNA", at positions 213 to 1041 of the family's 1533-position model. RNAcentral also lists the same sequence under 1 other name. The record is from RNAcentral. Lineage: Bacteria; Pseudomonadati; Pseudomonadota; Gammaproteobacteria; Vibrionales; Vibrionaceae.
UCUCGCGUCAGGAUAUGCCUAGGUGGGAUUAGCUAGUUGGUGAGGUAAUGGCUCACCAAGGCGACGAUCCCUAGCUGGUCUGAGAGGAUGAUCAGCCACACUGGAACUGAGACACGGUCCAGACUCCUACGGGAGGCAGCAGUGGGGAAUAUUGCACAAUGGGCGCAAGCCUGAUGCAGCCAUGCCGCGUGUGUGAAGAAGGCCUUCGGGUUGUAAAGCACUUUCAGUCGUGAGGAAGGUAGUGUAGUUAAUAGCUGCAUUAUUUGACGUUAGCGACAGAAGAAGCACCGGCUAACUCCGUGCCAGCAGCCGCGGUAAUACGGAGGGUGCGAGCGUUAAUCGGAAUUACUGGGCGUAAAGCGCAUGCAGGUGGUUUGUUAAGUCAGAUGUGAAAGCCCGGGGCUCAACCUCGGAAUAGCAUUUGAAACUGGCAGACUAGAGUACUGUAGAGGGGGGUAGAAUUUCAGGUGUAGCGGUGAAAUGCGUAGAGAUCUGAAGGAAUACCGGUGGCGAAGGCGGCCCCCUGGACAGAUACUGACACUCAGAUGCGAAAGCGUGGGGAGCAAACAGGAUUAGAUACCCUGGUAGUCCACGCCGUAAACGAUGUCUACUUGGAGGUUGUGGCCUUGAGCCGUGGCUUUCGGAGCUAACGCGUUAAGUAGACCGCCUGGGGAGUACGGUCGCAAGAUUAAAACUCAAAUGAAUUGACGGGGGCCCGCACAAGCGGUGGAGCAUGUGGUUUAAUUCGAUGCAACGCGAAGAACCUUACCUACUCUUGACAUCCAGAGAACUUUCCAGAGAUGGAUUGGUGCCUUCGGGAACUCUGAGACAGGUGC